Molecule: ribosomal RNA, 400 nt
Filed under: uncultured bacterium
Lineage: Bacteria
Description: bacterial SSU rRNA
Rfam family: Bacterial small subunit ribosomal RNA
Source: RNAcentral
GAGUUUGAUCGUGGCUCAGGACGAACGCUGGCGGCGCGCCUAACACAUGCAAGUCGAGCGGGGAGAGCGAUAGUUUACUAGAGUUUUCCUAGCGGCGGACGGGUGAGUAACACGUGAAGAACCUGCCUUACAGAGGGGGACAACAGCUGGAAACGGCUGCUAAUACCGCAUAACGUUUAGUUGGGGCAUCCCGAUUAAACCAAAGGAGCAAUCCGCUGUAAGAUGGCUUCGCGUCCGAUUAGACAGUUGGCGGGUAACGCCCAACAAAUCUACGAUCGGUAGCCGGACUGAGAGGUUGAACGGCCACAUUGGGACUGAGACACGGCCCAGACUCCUACGGGAGGCAGCGAGUGGGGAUAUUGCACAUGGAGGAAACUCUGAUGCAGCGACGCGCGUGAGG